AGUGAACGCUGGCGGUAGGCCUAACACAUGCAAGUCGAACGGCAGCACAGUAAGAGCUUGCUCUUACGGGUGGCGAGUGGCGGACGGGUGAGGAAUACAUCGGAAUCUACUUUUUCGUGGGGGAUAACGUAGGGAAACUUACGCUAAUACCGCAUACGACCUACGGGUGAAAGCAGGGGAUCUUCGGACCUUGCGCGAUUGAAUGAGCCGAUGUCGGAUUAGCUAGUUGGCGGGGUAAAGGCCCACCAAGGCGACGAUCCGUAGCUGGUCUGAGAGGAUGAUCAGCCACACUGGAACUGAGACACGGUCCAAACCCCCACGGGGGGCAGGAGUGGGGAAUAUUGGACAAUGGGCGCAAGCCUGAUCCAGCCAUACCGCGGGGGGGAAGAAGGCCUUCGGGUUGUAAAGCCCUUUUGUUGGGAAAAAAAAGAAGCAGGUUAAUACCCCGCUGUUCGGACGGUACCCAAAGAAUAAGCACCGGCUAACUUCGU
This 491-nucleotide ribosomal RNA is filed under the name uncultured bacterium. Its description in RNAcentral is "partial 16S ribosomal RNA". It matches the Rfam family "Bacterial small subunit ribosomal RNA", at positions 29 to 506 of the family's 1533-position model. The record is from RNAcentral.